GGAGAGGUGCCGGAGUGGCCGAUCGGGCCGGUUUCGAAAACCGGUGAACCUUCGCGGUUCCGUGGGUUCGAAUCCCACCCUCUCCG
RNAcentral lists this transfer RNA (86 nucleotides) under Phycisphaerae bacterium. RNAcentral's name for it is "tRNA-Ser". It matches the Rfam family "tRNA". Rfam says of the family: Transfer RNA (tRNA) molecules are approximately 80 nucleotides in length. Lineage: Bacteria; Pseudomonadati; Planctomycetota; Phycisphaerae. The record is from RNAcentral.